GUGGGGAAUAUUGGACAAUGGGCGAAAGCCUGAUCCAGCCAUGCCGCGUGUGUGAAGAAGGUCUUCGGAUUGUAAAGCACUUUAAGUUGGGAGGAAGGGUAGUAACCUAAUACGUUGCUACUUUGACGUUACCGACAGAAUAAGCACCGGCUAACUUCGUGCCAGCAGCCGCGGUAAUACGAAGGGUGCAAGCGUUAAUCGGAAUUACUGGGCGUAAAGCGCGCGUAGGUGGUUCAGUAAGUUGGAAGUGAAAUCCCCGGGCUCAACCUUGGAACUGCUUUCAAAACUGCUGAGCUAGAGUACGGUAGAGGGUGGUGGAAUUUCCUGUGUAGCGGUGAAAUGCGUAGAUAUAGGAAGGAACACCAGUGGCGAAGGCGACCACCUGGACUGAUACUGACACUGAGGUGCGAAAGCGUGGGGAGCAAACAGGAUUAGAUACCCGAGUAGUCC
This 450-nucleotide ribosomal RNA is filed under the name uncultured bacterium. Its description in RNAcentral is "partial 16S ribosomal RNA". It matches the Rfam family "Bacterial small subunit ribosomal RNA", at positions 354 to 796 of the family's 1533-position model. The record is from RNAcentral.